ACAGAGGUCCCGAGCGUUGUUCGGAAUUACUGGGCGUAAAGCGCGCGUAGGCGGCUUUGCAAGUUAGAGGUGAAAGCCCGGGGCUCAACCCCGGAAUUGCCUUUAAAACUGCAUCGCUAGAGUUGUGGAGAGGUAAGUGGAAUUCCGAGUGUAGAGGUGAAAUUCGUAGAUAUUCGGAAGAACACCAGUGGCGAAGGCGACUUACUGGACACAUACUGACGCUGAGGUGCGAAAGCGUGGGGAGCAAACAGGA
RNAcentral lists this ribosomal RNA (253 nucleotides) under uncultured prokaryote. RNAcentral describes it as "partial 16S ribosomal RNA". It matches the Rfam family "Bacterial small subunit ribosomal RNA", at positions 525 to 777 of the family's 1533-position model. The record is from RNAcentral.